This 207-nucleotide long non-coding RNA is filed under the name Setaria italica (foxtail millet). Its description in RNAcentral is "long non-coding RNA (SITA_LNC002417)". Lineage: Eukaryota; Viridiplantae; Streptophyta; Magnoliopsida; Poales; Poaceae. The record is from RNAcentral.
GCAAGCCCCGGAGCAUGAACCCCAGUUUCCCAAACUUGCACAUGCCUUCUGUUCCUUGUUUGUGCAUUUACGUAUAGGAGUUGCUUGAAAACGUAGAUGCAUGACUUAGUUCCCUAUUUUGAACACUAGCUAUUGGACCGAGUAGUGGCCAUGCUUAAAUAGGAAGCGCUAAAAGCCGAGUGAUCUCCUGUCACUCGCGAGUUGUAG